This is a long non-coding RNA of Passer domesticus (house sparrow), 672 nucleotides long. RefSeq lists it as uncharacterized. The transcript has 2 exons. Lineage: Eukaryota; Metazoa; Chordata; Aves; Passeriformes; Passeridae. The record is from RefSeq and is a predicted model, not a curated record.
AUUUACACUGCCCUGAAACAGCAGGCCACAAAAGGACUCUGAUUCCCAUGCUAGAGCUUCCAGCUGAGAGCUUGGCUGUGAAGCUACCUCUGCAGAGACAUACAAGAGGCUUUAUUUUUUGCAUAAAGGUCUGCAAGCCCUUUUAGAGUGGAUCUUGUUGUCAAUCAAAUUAGAAAUGGAGGCUAAAGUCUGAGCAUGCAGUGGGAGAAAGUGGCAGCUUGAAGCGUCAAGACACUUCUGUGCUGUGAAGAGGUAUUGUCGCAGGACUGAUGUCAGAAGAAUUGUAUUGGUUUCAGAGAACCUUUGCAAAAGGGCAGCAGAUGAAGGAUCUGAAUCUCAGUGACACUGUCUGACACAGCGCAGAGAAAAAUGGAAUAUUUAAUUACAAGAGGGUUUAAAUUAUGAAUUGCUGCUGUAAUGUGUGGUCAAAAGACUGUAUGGAAUAGGUCCUUCAUAUUACUGCGCAUGCUUUCAAGACAAGAUAUUAAGGAUAGACAAAACAUGAUUGAAAACUGUCUUGUAAAGAUGCACUACAGUCAUCUCGCCAUGAGGCAGGUGAAGUUUGUAAGUAGGCAAGGAGUGUAUUGACUCUGGUCUCUCUAAGACCCUCACUGUAAAUUAUUUUGUCUUGUGACAGCCACAAGCCAAAGUAAUAAAAUAAACUUAAACCUG